This 704-nucleotide ribosomal RNA is filed under the name uncultured Bacteroidota bacterium. RNAcentral describes it as "bacterial SSU rRNA". It matches the Rfam family "Bacterial small subunit ribosomal RNA", at positions 68 to 768 of the family's 1533-position model. The record is from RNAcentral. Lineage: Bacteria; Pseudomonadati; Bacteroidota.
AGCGGGUUCUAGCAAUAGAAUGCCGGCGACCGGCGCACGGGUGCGUAACGCGUAUACAAUUUGCCUUAUACUGGGAGAUAGCCCGGAGAAAUUCGGAUUAAUAUCCCAUAAUAAUUUUGGUCCGCAUGGAUUGAUUUUUAAAGCUACGGCGGUAUAGGAUGAGUAUGCGUCUGAUUAGCUAGUUGGUGAGGUAAUGGCUCACCAAGGCAACGAUCAGUAGGGGGCCUGAGAGGGUUAUCCCCCACACUGGAACUGAGACACGGUCCAGACUCCUACGGGAGGCAGCAGUGAGGAAUAUUGGUCAAUGGAGGCAACUCUGAACCAGCCAUGCCGCGUGAAGGAUGAAGGCCCUAUGGGUUGUAAACUUCUUUUAUUGGGGAAGAAACCUUUCUACGUGUAGAGAGCUGACGGUACCCAAGGAAUAAGGACCGGCUAACUCCGUGCCAGCAGCCGCGGUAAUACGGAGGGUCCAAGCGUUAUCCGGAAUCAUUGGGUUUAAAGGGUGCGCAGGCGGUAAAGUAAGUCAGUGGUGAAAUCUCUCGGCUCAACCGAGAAACUGCCAUUGAUACUGCUAUACUUGAAUAUAGUCGAAGUGGGCGGAAUGUGACAUGUAGCGGUGAAAUGCUUACAUAUGUCACAGAACACCGAUAGCGAAGGCAGCUCACUAGACUAACAUUGACGCUCAUGCACGAAAGCGUGGGGAG